This is an RNA transcript of Leptopilina heterotoma, 2020 nucleotides long. It is a transcript of the gene named RNA-binding protein NOB1, with no coding region annotated. The record is from RefSeq and is a predicted model, not a curated record. The transcript has 8 exons. NCBI's taxonomy places the organism in Eukaryota, Metazoa, Arthropoda, Insecta, Hymenoptera, Figitidae.
ACCUAUGUAUUAUGUUUUUGUCUGUUCUCCUCUAUAUACAAACACGUGUGGAAAUUUAUACUAUUUAUACGAUUAAAAAGUUUAUAAUGAAUUCAAAUAAAAAAGUGGAGUAUUUAAUAACCGAUACAAGUGCAUUUAUAAAAAAUGCAGCCCUACACGAAAUAGGUAAUAAUAUAAUUACCGAACCAUCGGUUGUGAAUGAAAUCACAAGCAAACGACAGUUGAGAAGGUUGGUCGCUCUACCUUAUGAUUUGAAGGUUCAGGAAGUCUUUCCAGAACACAUUAAAUUUGUGACGGAAUUCGCCAAGAAAACGGGAGAUUAUCCGAGUCUUUCGGCCACUGAUAUUAAAGUCAUAGCAUUGACUUAUCAACUCGAGAAGGAGAAAGUUGGAAUUCAACAUUUAAAAACAGCUCCGGAAAUUGUUCGAACACUCAACGAUCCCGAAGCACUACAACAAAUUCAUCCCAAAUGUCUCGCUGGUUUCUAUCUUCCGGAAAAUGAGGAAGAUGAAGAAGAAGAAGAAAGGGUUGACACCAAAGCGGAAAAAGUGGAGAGAUUAUUUCAAAAACUAAAGGAGACUGGAAAAUUGGAAAAGGAGGAUAUUGAAGAUACAAAUUCAAAAGAUGUGAAGAAUUCAUCUGAUAAAUGUACCGAUAGUUCAUCAGAAUCAAAUUACGAUACGGCAACGUCCGAUAUUGAAGUUCCAAUUGAUUUGGUAGAUAAAUUUGGAAAGUUGGACUGCAAGGAAACGGACUUAAUGGUUGAUAAUAAUUACGACUUGAAUGAUAUUCUUCGUCCUGUUAAAAAUUGUAAUGACGGCAGUUUGUGCAGUGAUUCUGGAAAUGAUGCCGAGGAAGAGGACAGUGAUGAGGAUGAUGAUGAUGAUGAUGACGGAUGGAUAACUCCCGGAAAUAUCGGAGUCAUAAAAAAGCAAAUGGAAUCAGAUGUAAUUGAUGAAAAACCGGCAGUCGUAGCGUGUCUCACUAUGGACUUUGCGAUGCAAAAUGUCUUGAUGCAAAUUGGACUAAAUAUUGCCUCUCUCGACGGAAAAGUGAUAAAACAGAUGCGAACUUUUAUACUCAGAUGUUAUGCGUGUUUCCGAACAACGGGAAUAAUGACAAAAGUCUUUUGUCCCCAUUGUGGUAAUAAGACGCUGAAGAAAGUUUCGAUUUCCAUCGACGAAAAUGGAAAACAACAUAUGCACAUUAAUUUUCGAAGGCCUCUUUCAUCAAAAGGGAAAAAGUUUUCAUUGCCAACACCUCAUGGUGGAAAACACGCGAAUAAUCCGAUUUUAUGUGAGGAUCAACCUUUACCAGAUCAACGACCAUCGAGAUUGGCACGAAUGAAAAAUGAUCCCUUAAAGGACGAUUAUAUCGCGGGAUAUUCGCCAUUUGUAACACGCGAUGUUAAUUCAAAAUCUGCGAUGUUGGGAAUUCGGAGCGGAAGGGGUGAAUUCAAGCAUUGGAUGAAAAGAAAUCCCAAUGAAUGUAGAAGGAGGCGAAAAUGAUCAUAGAUGAAGAAUUUUUUUAAAUAAUAAAUUUCAAUAAUUGAGAGGCAUUUAAAGUGGAACCACUCUGAUUGGUCAAGACGUUUCAUUGAAAGUCAGUCUUACUACUCACUUCACAUUGAUAGUUAUCCAUGUUACACGAAGCGCAUGAGUUGUACGUACAUAACCUGUGUAGUUGUGUUAGAAAGUAGAGGGGCUGAUUUUCUAAACAACCGGGUGUAAACACUCAAAAGGUUCAUUUUUAAACAUUGAUAACAAAAAAACCUCUAAGGUCCCUUUUCUCGUGGAGCGUCACAUAUAUAUUUUGUCUGUUCGCAUUUAUUUUGUCUGUUCGCAGUUAUUUUGUCUCUUCGCAGUAAAAAGGGACCAAGCGCUUCCCGAUGCGAGCGCUACUUGGAAUUGAGUCCCGAGCAACCUUCACAGCGGGGGUCACUCGGACCCUUAAACCCUCAUUAAGGAAAACUGUUAAUGACUUUUCUAUAAUAAUAAAAAUAUAAAUUUUUAAAUAGUAA